This 224-nucleotide ribosomal RNA is filed under the name Klebsiella pneumoniae. RNAcentral's name for it is "partial 23S ribosomal RNA". It matches the Rfam family "Bacterial large subunit ribosomal RNA", at positions 134 to 395 of the family's 2925-position model. The record is from RNAcentral. Lineage: Bacteria; Pseudomonadati; Pseudomonadota; Gammaproteobacteria; Enterobacterales; Enterobacteriaceae.
CAAUUCGUUGCACUAUCGUUAACUGAAUACAUAGGUUAACGAGGCGAACCGGGGGAACUGAAACAUCUAAGUACCCCGAGGAAAAGAAAUCAACCGAGAUUCCCCCAGUAGCGGCGAGCGAACGGGGAGCAGCCCAGAGUCUGAAUCAGCUUGUGUGUUAGUGGAACGGUCUGGAAAGUCCGACGGUACAGGGUGAUAGUCCCGUACACCAAAAUGCACAGGCU